Molecule: long non-coding RNA, 716 nt
Filed under: Panax ginseng (ginseng)
Lineage: Eukaryota; Viridiplantae; Streptophyta; Magnoliopsida; Apiales; Araliaceae
Description: long non-coding RNA (PGIN_LNC002793)
Source: RNAcentral
UAAUGCUUGGGUGGUGGUGGCGGUGGAGACUUGUAUUUGUAUACCGGUGUUGGUGGGGGUGGGGACUUGUACUUGUAAACUGGAGGAGGUGGCGGGGGAGACUUGUAUUUGUAAACUGGUGGUGGUGGAGACUUGUAUUUGUAAACUGGUGUUGGUGGUGGUGGGGACUUGUACUUGUAAACUGGUGGUGGUGGGGACUUGUAUUUGUAAACUGGUGGUGGUGGUGGUGGAGACUUGUACUUGUAGACUGGUGGUGGUGGUGAUUUAUAGUGGUAAUGAGGUGGAUGAGAGUGCACUGAGGGAGGUGGUGGUGGUGACUUGUAAUGGUAAGGAGGGGGAGGGGAGUGCACCGGAGGUGGUGGUGGUGGUGAUUUGUAGUGGUAAUGUGGUGGUAGGGAGUGCACUGGAGGUGGUGGUGGUGGUGACUUGUAGUGAUAUGGUGGUGGUGGUGGGGAGUGCACUGGGGGAGGAGGUGGUGGAGACUUGUAGUGAUAAGGAUGGGGAGGAGAGUGCACAGGAGGUGGCGGUGGUGGUGAUUUGUAAUGAUAAGUUGGUGGUGGUGGCGGUGAAUUGUAAUGGUAAAGAGGAGAGGGGAAAUGGUCGGUAGCUGCGGUUUCUAAUGGCAAGUUUAGGGACACUAAUACCACUACAAGAGUGACCAUAAGAGUGUCCAUUUUGGACCCCUUUGCUAUUCUUACCAUCUUUUUACUACAAAU